Molecule: ribosomal RNA, 1449 nt
Filed under: Vibrio sp. 10N.286.51.C3
Lineage: Bacteria; Pseudomonadati; Pseudomonadota; Gammaproteobacteria; Vibrionales; Vibrionaceae
Description: bacterial LSU rRNA
Rfam family: Bacterial large subunit ribosomal RNA
Source: RNAcentral
GGCGGGUGGUUUAGGUAAAUCCGGACCGCUACUAACGCUGAGAUACGAUGUCGAGCUACUACGGUAGUGAAGUCAUUGAUGCCAUGCUUCCAGGAAAAGCCUCUAAGCUUCAGAUUGUAAGGAAUCGUACCCCAAACCGACACAGGUGGUCGGGUAGAGAAUACCAAGGCGCUUGAGAGAACUCGGGUGAAGGAACUAGGCAAAAUGGUACCGUAACUUCGGGAGAAGGUACGCUCUUAUCAGUGAAGUCCCUUGCGGAUGGAGCAGACGAGAGUCGCAGAUACCAGGUGGCUGCAACUGUUUAUUAAAAACACAGCACUGUGCAAAAUCGUAAGAUGACGUAUACGGUGUGACGCCUGCCCGGUGCCGGAAGGUUAAUUGAUGGGGUUAGACUUCGGUCGAAGCUCUUGAUCGAAGCCCCGGUAAACGGCGGCCGUAACUAUAACGGUCCUAAGGUAGCGAAAUUCCUUGUCGGGUAAGUUCCGACCUGCACGAAUGGCGUAAUGAUGGCCACGCUGUCUCCACCCGAGACUCAGUGAAAUUGAAAUCGCUGUGAAGAUGCAGUGUACCCGCGGCUAGACGGAAAGACCCCGUGAACCUUUACUACAGCUUGGCACUGAACAUUGAACCUACAUGUGUAGGAUAGGUGGGAGACUUUGAAACCGCGUCGCUAGAUGUGGUGGAGUCGUCCUUGAAAUACCACCCUUGUAGUUUUGAUGUUCUAACGUUGGUCCCUGAAUCGGGAUUACGGACAGUGCCUGGUGGGUAGUUUGACUGGGGCGGUCUCCUCCCAAAGAGUAACGGAGGAGCACGAAGGUGGGCUAAACACGGUUGGACAUCGUGUGGUUAGUGCAAUGGCAUAAGCCCGCUUGACUGCGAGAAUGACAAUUCGAGCAGGUGCGAAAGCAGGUCAUAGUGAUCCGGUGGUUCUGAAUGGAAGGGCCAUCGCUCAACGGAUAAAAGGUACUCCGGGGAUAACAGGCUGAUACCGCCCAAGAGUUCAUAUCGACGGCGGUGUUUGGCACCUCGAUGUCGGCUCAUCACAUCCUGGGGCUGAAGUCGGUCCCAAGGGUAUGGCUGUUCGCCAUUUAAAGUGGUACGCGAGCUGGGUUUAGAACGUCGUGAGACAGUUCGGUCCCUAUCUGCCGUGGGCGUUGGAAAAUUGAAAGGGGCUGCUCCUAGUACGAGAGGACCGGAGUGGACGAACCUCUGGUGUUCGGGUUGUCAUGCCAAUGGCAUUGCCCGGUAGCUAAGUUCGGAAUCGAUAACCGCUGAAAGCAUCUAAGCGGGAAGCGAGCCUUGAGAUGAGUUUUCCCUGACGCUAUAAGCGUCCUAAAGGGUUGUCGUAGACUACGACGUUGAUAGGCAGGGUGUGUAAGUGCUGCGAGGCAUUGAGCUAACCUGUACUAAUUGCCCGUGAGGCUUAACCAUACAACACCCAAGGGGUUU